Cavia porcellus (domestic guinea pig) is the source of this 4097-nucleotide long non-coding RNA. RefSeq lists it as uncharacterized. The record is from RefSeq and is a predicted model, not a curated record. The transcript has 6 exons. Lineage: Eukaryota; Metazoa; Chordata; Mammalia; Rodentia; Caviidae.
UGUUCUACUAGACUCAGCGAAAGAAAGUCUAGCUUAAUUUCAUUCCUUCUCAGCACAAUUUCUGCUUUGGUCUUAGCAGUGCUGUGAGCUGAGUGAUGCUUUCUCUUAUGUUGUAUUUUUUCAUGUGCUAAAGUUCUAAUUCCUUGCACCUCAAAAUGUGACAGUGAAAUGAAACAAAGGUCUUGAGGAUGGGCUCUAGCCCAGUAUGACUGGCAUCAUUAUAAAAAGAGGGGAUUUGGAGAGAGACACAGAGUCGGACCAUGUGAGGGCAUAGAGAAUGCACAUGGACAAGCCAAGGAGAGAGACCUCAGGGGAGACCAACCUGCUGACACCUUGAUUUUGGAUUUCCAGGCUCCAAAAUUUCUUGGCUGACUGCAAUGAGAAAAUCGAUUCUACUGCAACUGGAACAGACUACAACUGCUUUCAUGUAGCUAGAGAGUGGCAUGAUUCACAGUAGGCUCAAGAAGAAGUGGCCUUUGUGAUUCCAGCCAGAUGACAACUGGAGUUUGAUGACGAAUUAUAUUGGAGUGUUGGUUGCUUCUUCAUAUCUCUGAUUCAGUUGUCAUGAGGUGAACAAUUUCCUUCACCAAGUGCUUUAUGCCAUGAUGCCACGACUCUGCCACCAGACUAAGUGACCAUGGAUUGAAACUCUUGAGACAAGCCAGGUAUUUCCCAACUGUUAAAUGAGGAAACACCUAUCAAGGUAUAACUCCAUGGCUGGCCUACAGUGACUACUGUGAUGCUAUUCAUGAUAACCUGGCUUUUGGACUCAUCUGGCAAUGCUGACUCCAGCUUCUGGUAGGAGGAAGUUCAAACCUGAACUGAAGUUGUGUUCCCUGCCCACCCAGGCCAGGUGGGUCCUCCCCUGGACAUCUGAGGAACUGGGUCAACUCCUGGAAAAGAUGUGGGAAGAGAACCAAACCCUUGGGUUUGACUCAGGAGCAGUGCUUUACAAGGUGAUGACUCUGCAUGGUGACCUUUGCCAGGUCCUUGAAGAAGAGGAGUGUUUCCUGGGGCUCCAUGGUGCUCCUUGGCUUCUCCUUAGUCUUUGCUGCUCUAUGCAGAGAUGACCCCUUCUCUUUCACCUGCUGGAAUCUGUGGCCAAACACUGGGCACCUUCUUCCUGCUCCUGAGGGCUCUUGGGCCUCUCCACUGAGCUGAGUGUUGGUACCCCUCGAAGUCUCCCUGUAUCCUGAUCGGUCCUCAGUCAGGGAUCUCUACCCUCCGCUCCACAGUGUCUUCAGGGCUGUCACAACAGCUGCCAUGGGCUUGCCUGAUGGCUGCACUCUGCAUGGAUACGUGGUAGUCUUGACCUUGUAGGCAGCUUUCAAAUCACACUGCAGCCAAGGGAGCUCCUAAGGGCAGAAUUUCCUUGUGUUUAACCCAUUGCAACCUUUGUGGGGUUUUCUCUCCAGUGUUGUUUUAGGAAGUGGGGGAAAGCCCUUACACCACACUCACCUCCUGUCACCAGGCCUCUAGCGCGUUUCUCUCUUUGGGAAUUUUGUUGGGUGGGAAGUGGUCAUCACACACCACCUGAUCUUCCUAUCACACAGCUUUCUGCUUGGCACCCUCCCUUGGUUAGAAGGGUCUGGCUUUCUCUUUCCUUGAUAUCAUGAGUUUGGGUUUGCUUUAGUAAAGCUUCUACUAAACUCAUGCAAGCAGAUCCAACUUGUGGUCUAUGAAUUGGACAUGUUGUGUUACAAUAGCAAGUUAAAAAGGAAGCUUUGUUACUUAUAUACAUUACUUAUAUGCAUUAACUGCAAGGUCUGAUAAAAAUAUAGUGAAUGUUUAAGUAAAAAUUUUAUUAUUGCAGAAGACACACAGACAUGAAUUCCCCCUUCAAACACACUUACCUCAUCAUUCGUUCUGCCUUCAGAAGCAAUUCUGAGCAUCUGUUUUUAGUGCCUGCCUAGAUGGACUGAAUGUCAAGACAUUUAUGGCAAUUUUCAUCACAUGAAACUAUUACAGUGUGUUCUUAUCCAUCUUACUCAUUGGCUCUGGCAUUGUAUGACCUCCGGCUCUUUCCCCAGAGUCAAAAUGAUCAUGAAGAGUAAGCAUUUUGAAUCAGUUCACAACCUUGAGCAAGACACGACAGCACAAUUAAAAAAGCAAAAUAAAAGGACUUCUAGAGCGAGACCUCUGUCAGGACAUAUUGAGAAGGUGCUGUUUGCAAAUCAGAACACAGACCCUCAUCAGACCUGGACUCAGCUGCUGCUUUGGUUUUGGACUGAAUCACCCUCCAGAAACUAAAAGAAAUAAGUUUCAGUGGCUUACUAAACCACCCAGCAGCUGAUAUUUUGCUAUAGUCGUCUGAACAGACCAAGACACUUAGCACAUGUUGAGCAUGAUCUUCAAUUGGUGUCUUAGAGAUGGUUGAGCUCAGAUCCCUGGGUUUUUCUAGAUUCAUUCUCCAGACACAAGUCUAAUCUGUUUUCCCACCUCACAUCCUUCUACUGGACGCUCAACUUCCUCAGCAAACCGUUAACCUCUGAGUCCCAGCUUCUCCAUUUCCUAAACCCCAGAUAAACUUACCCCCUCCCCCUGAGAUUUCAGCCAGAGAAACCUUUUAAUAUUUUCACCCCACACUCAGAGAAGUUUUCUCUAGGUGUAUGUCUUUCCUGCUGUCUCUCCAUCAACUGUUUAACCCCUGCUCUGUAUUAAAUUUCCUCUUUGAUGUACUAGAUCCGUUUCAGGUUUCCUGCCUGGUUGUGACUGGCUGCUCUCCAAGGGAGAGAAAGCCCUCUUUAUAAUCUGCUUAGGGAUGAGCACGCUGAAGCUUGUGAAGGCCAAGUUAGAAGCCCCGAUCUGACAGCCAGGGAGCCAGGGAAGACAGACUGUGCCAGCGAGGGGAGGCCUUACAGGCCACCAGUUAAGAUUAUCCUGCUGGAGGUGGAGACUGGUGAAGACGGUACUCAGAAUUGACAGGAGCAGAGCUACAUUUGGGAAGCUCUUGAUGGAAUUGCCUCUGUCCAGACUGCCUCUGUCCAAGCAGAUCCAACAUAAAAAGAUGCCCCAAAAUGUCUCUGUAAUCCCAGCUACCUGGGAAGCCAAGAGAAGAUAAUCAGGAGUUCAAGGCCAGCUGGGACAACGUGGUGAGACUGUCUCAAAAACAAAACAACAACAAAAACCAAACCAAAAUAAAACAAAAAACAAGACACCAAAAAAUCUUGAUUAUAGGGGCUGGGGAUUUAGCUCAGUGGCAUAAGCACCUGCCUUGUAAGCAGGCGGUCGUGAGUUCGAUCCUCAGUACCGAUAAAAAAAAAUCUUGAUUAUAUCUUGAUUGCUAUCUUUUUUCUUCUUUGAGUUGUGGGCUCUUUUUGUGCAGAGUUAGCUAAGAAUCACGUCACUAAUGAAAAGUCUUCUGUACAUCUGCUGGAUAUAUUGCCACAUGCCUAGUUAAUCCCUUUAAAUAUGCUGUUUUUGUUCCCCUGUAUGUCUGUGAUCAUCUGUAAAUAGUUUUCCUCAGGGUCCUUUGGGCCAAAAGGGCUACCAAAUAAAUCUAUGGGACAUAGAUUACUCACGAGAAUAGAAGAUUUACUCUACAUAUUUACACAAACAAAUGAGGUAAAAUGAUGUUUUAAUGUUCACUUAAUUAUGUCUUGUAGACAUGCCCAAGAUACUACAUUCAUUUCUAAAAAUAUGGGCUUUGUGUGUGUUAAUGUGCUUUUGCCACAGAAGCAUUGUUUUUUGAUGUAUUGAGGUCCAGCCAGUUUGUAAUGCCCAUUGAUCUUAUUAAGUAUGUCAGUAAAAUCAACUCUACAUAUUUGUGGGUUCAGUAUCCAUAGAUUCAACCAUGAUGGAUAGAAAAUGUUUCAAAAAUAUUGCAUCAAAAUAAAUAUGUACAGAUUUCUUUUUUUUGUCAUUAACCCCUGAACAAAACAAUUUACGUAUCAUUAGGGGUAAGUAAUUCAGAGAUAACUAAAGAAUACAGGAUGAUAUACGUAGGUUAUACCCAAGUGCUGUGCCAUUUUAUAUAACGGAUUUAGGCAUCUAUGGCUUUUGGUGGUGGAACCAACUGAUCCCUUCUGGGCCCCUAAGGACAACUGUAUUUACUAUCCUUUAGUUUUUUUGUUUGAAUAAAAGCUGUGUUCACACAA